GAUUAUUAUAAUUUACAGUAUUUGACACUCCUCCCAUUAAGAAGUAGGGGUUUAUGCCCUUUUGCGUUAAAUCUGGGAGGGUUUAUGACCAUUUCAACCAAUAGAGCAUGAAAGAAAUGAUGCUAUGUGACUUUUGAGGCUAGGUCAUAAAAGGCAGUGAGGUUUCUGCCUUGUUUCCUGGAACACACGUGCUUAGAAUCCUGAGCCACCAUGAAAGAAGUCCAACUACCCUAAGGCUGACACAUGAGGAGCCAGGCCACAUGCAGAACCCCAUGUGGGCCCUUGGGUUCUGGUCUUCAGGUUGUACCAAGCUCAGGCACCUGAUAUUCUUUUUAAAGAGACCUAAUUUUACCUACACAAAAUAGGAAACAUACCUUCGAAUCUAGUGUGGUCAACUUCUUCAAUGCUCUCCAAAUAGUAUUCACUAGCAGUAAACUGGUUUACCGAACCUCUGUACUGAAGUCCGUGAAAAUGUUUAAACUGAAAAGAUGCAGAGAGUAUGCUGCAUUCCUGCCUCAGCCGUGCUCUGACAGGCUCACGUGUCGUCUUCACCAUUAUCCUCCCCACACUAAGUGGAUUUACGUUCCAGGAAGUGGAAAAGGCAGUGAAGAAAUCAGAUCCCUGGCUUCCAGGAUGAGCCUGCUUGGCCCCGGAUAAUCCCAUUUCCCUACCAACGACUGGUUCGGGAAUGGAAGUGUAACCAGUUCUGGACAAGGAGACCUAAGUGGAAGCUAACUGGGCCACAUUUCUUUAAGAAGUUUUCUCCAUUCCGAGAGUCAGAGAAGAGACAACGUCUCUUCCUCGGGACACUGCUGUGUCUGAAGGCGGACACUGCGGUGUCUGAAGGCGGACACUGCUGUGUCUGAAGGCGGACACUGUUGUGUCUGAAGGUGAACACUGAGAACAGCUGCAGACAUCUCCUAGCAGCCUGAGAAUGAAGCCAACACCAGGGCUGGAGGAACAGUGCUGGAAAGUAGGUCCCUGAUGACGUUUUGAGCCACUCAGUCAACCCUGAAGCCUAUUCUAUCUUUGGGCGGCCUGUUAUAUGAGAAACAUUGUUUCAUUCAGAAUUUCUUUCUUGUAUUCAAAAUCCUGGAUAAUCACUGAUGACCCUGAACAAAAAGCCCAGAAAUCAGACUAUUUUCUAUUAGACGGUUUUUUAAAACUUGACAACUCUAAGAGUCCAGUGUUUCCUUCCUGUAAGAAGCUUUUUUUGAUUGGCUGAAACAAUA
Non-coding RNA from Macaca mulatta (Rhesus monkey), 1232 nucleotides. The record is from RefSeq and is a predicted model, not a curated record. Lineage: Eukaryota; Metazoa; Chordata; Mammalia; Primates; Cercopithecidae.